Molecule: ribosomal RNA, 537 nt
Filed under: uncultured bacterium
Lineage: Bacteria
Description: bacterial SSU rRNA
Rfam family: Bacterial small subunit ribosomal RNA
Source: RNAcentral
AAUAGAUACCCGGGUAGUCCACGCCGUAAACGAUGGAUACUAGCUGUCCGGUCGCAAGAUUGAGUGGCUAAGCGAAAGUGAUAAGUAUCCCACCUGGGGAGUACGAACGCAAGUUUGAAACUCAAAGGAAUUGACGGGGGCCCGCACAAGCGGUGGAGCAUGUGGUUUAAUUCGAUGAUACGCGAGGAACCUUACCAAGGCUUAAAUGUAUAUUGACAGGACUGGAAACAGUUUUUUCUUCGGACAAUUUACAAGGUGCUGCAUGGUUGUCGUCAGCUCGUGCCGUGAGGUGUCAGGUUAAGUCCUAUAACGAGCGCAACCCCUGUUGUUAGUUGCCAGCGAGUCAAGUCGGGAACUCUAACAAGACUGCCAGUGUAAACUGUGAGGAAGGUGGGGAUGACGUCAAAUCAUCACGGCCCUUACGCCUUGGGCUACACACGUGCUACAAUGGCCGGUACAGAGAGCAGCCACUGCGCGAGCAGGAGCGAAUCUAUAAAACCGGUCACAGUUCGGAUCGGAGUCUGCAACUCGACUCCG